This 188-nucleotide long non-coding RNA is filed under the name Cercocebus atys (sooty mangabey). RNAcentral describes it as "lncRNA (ENSCATG00000045813.1)". Lineage: Eukaryota; Metazoa; Chordata; Mammalia; Primates; Cercopithecidae. The record is from RNAcentral.
CUACAAAAGCGCGCCGAGUCUUCCUGUCCACCCAGUCGCCCCACAUGUCAGCGGUUGGUCGCCUCGCGGUGCAGCGCUGGGCACGCGAGCCCCUCCCGCAGCCAUUCGCAGCACAAGCACCACCCGCAGCGACAGAGCUAAGAGCCCCCACGCCGCAGAGGUCGCGCGGAGCAGAUUUGAUGGAGUGA